UACGAGGGGGCUCAUGUUGCAGCAUGUCGGGGACGAUAACGGCGUCGAGCGGCGGACGGGUGAGUAAUGCCUAGGAAAUUGCCCUGAUGUGGGGGAUAACCAUUGGAAACGAUGGCUAAUACCGCAUAAUGCCUACGGGCCAAAGAGGGGGACCUUCGGGCCUCUCGCGUCAGGAUAUGCCUAGGUGGGAUUAGCUAGUUGGUGAGGUAAGGGCUCACCAAGGCGACGAUCCCUAGCUGGUCUGAGAGGAUGAUCAGCCACACUGGAACUGAGACACGGUCCAGACUCCUACGGGAGGCAGCAGUGGGGAAUAUUGCACAAUGGGCGCAAGCCUGAUGCAGCCAUGCCGCGUGUGUGAAGAAGGCCUUCGGGUUGUAAAGCACUUUCAGUCGUGAGGAAGGUAGUGUAGUUAAUAGCUGCAUUAUUUGACGUUAGCGACAAAGAAGCACCGGCUAACUCCGUGCCAGCAGCCGCGGUAAUACGGAGGGUGCGAGCGUUAAUCGGAAUUACUGGGCGUAAAGCGCAUGCAGGUGGUUUGUUAAGUCAGAUGUGAAAGCCCGGGGCUCAACCUCGGAAUUGCAUUUGAAACUGGCAGACUAGAGUACUGUAGAGGGGGGUAGAAUUUCAGGUGUAGCGGUGAAAUGCGUAGAGAUCUGAAGGAAUACCGGUGGCGAAGGCGGCCCCCUGGACAGAUACUGACACUCAGAUGCGAAAGCGUGGGGAGCAAACAGGAUUAGAUACCCUGGUAGUCCACGCCGUAACGAUGUCUACUUGGAGGUUGUGGCCUUGAGCCGUGGCUUUCGGAGCUAACGCGUUAAGUAGACCGCCUGGGGAGUACGGUCGCAAGAUUAAAACUCAAAUGAAUUGACGGGGGCCCGCACAAGCGGUGGAGCAUGUGGUUUAAUUCGAUGCAACGCGAAGAACCUUACCUACUCUUGACAUCCAGAGAACUUUCCAGAGAUGGAUUGGUGCCUUCGGGAACUCUGAAACAGGUGCUGCAUGGCUGUCGUCAGCUCGUGUUGUGAAAUGUUGGGGUUAAGUCCCGCAACGAGCGCAACCCUUAUCCUUGUUUGCCAGCGAUAAUGUCGGGAACUCCAGGGAAGACUGCCGGUGAUAAACCCGGAGGAAGGUGGGGGACGACGUCCAGUCAUCCUGGGCCUUUCCAAAUAAGGGCUACCACCAUUGCUACAAUGGGCGCAUUCCCAAGAC
RNAcentral lists this ribosomal RNA (1209 nucleotides) under Vibrio campbellii. RNAcentral's name for it is "bacterial SSU rRNA". It matches the Rfam family "Bacterial small subunit ribosomal RNA", at positions 61 to 1248 of the family's 1533-position model. Lineage: Bacteria; Pseudomonadati; Pseudomonadota; Gammaproteobacteria; Vibrionales; Vibrionaceae. The record is from RNAcentral.